RNAcentral lists this ribosomal RNA (499 nucleotides) under uncultured bacterium. RNAcentral describes it as "partial 16S ribosomal RNA". It matches the Rfam family "Bacterial small subunit ribosomal RNA", at positions 28 to 523 of the family's 1533-position model. The record is from RNAcentral.
GAUGAACGCUGGCGGCGUGCUUAACACAUGCAAGGCGAACGAAGCACUUUAUUCGAUUUUCUUCGGAGAUGAAGAUUUAGUGACUGAGUGGCGGACGGGUGAGUAACGCGUGGAUAACCUGCCUCACACUGGGGAAUAACAGUUAGAAAUGACUGCUAAUACCGCAUAAGCGCACAGUACCGCAUGGUAUGGUGUGAAAAACUCCGGUGGUGUGAGAUGGAUCCGCGUUUGAUUAGCCAGUUGGCGGGGUAACGGCCCACCAAAGCGACGAUCAAUAGCCGACCUGAGAGGGUGACCGGCCACAUUGGGACUGAGACACGGCCCAAACUCCUACGGGAGGCAGCAGUGGGGAAUAUUGCGCAAUGGGGGAAACCCUGACGCAGCGACGCCGCGUGAGCGAUGAAGUAUUUCGGUAUGUAAAGCUCUAUCAGCAGGGAAGAAUAAAUGACGGUACCUGACUAAGAAGCCCCGGCUAACUACGUGCCAGCAGCCGCAGUAA